GGGGAUGAUCGGUUUCGACAAGGCUUCUUGAUACGAAAAGAAGCGGGCCGUGAAUGUAGCGUCAACACGUAAAUGUUCGCUGCAAAAUAUAGGUGCUAAAUCUAAAAGCACUGACUUCGGCCUAGCUGCUUAAUAGCGCUAACCCGAAGUCCGUUAGUCCAACAUUAGAUUUCGUGUUGGGUACUAGCGUCAUCUAGAAAUCUUGCUGAGUGGUUAUGCCUUAGGGCUACUUGGGACUUUUACUCAGGCUGGGCUGGUCGGUUUAGUCGCUUCAUGCAAAAACCGCGGCCGAGAAAAUCGUUAGUGAAGCUACGCCCGUAGAAGAGUUCGGUUCGAUGUCAUGGACGGGGGUUCGAUUCCCCCCAUCUCCACCA
RNAcentral lists this transfer-messenger RNA (374 nucleotides) under Microbacteriaceae bacterium. It matches the Rfam family "transfer-messenger RNA". From Rfam's summary of the family: Bacterial tmRNA, also known as 10Sa RNA or SsrA, is named for its dual tRNA and mRNA-like properties. Its role is to liberate the mRNA from a stalled ribosome. To accomplish this part of the tmRNA is used as a reading frame that ends in a translation stop signal. The record is from RNAcentral. Lineage: Bacteria; Bacillati; Actinomycetota; Actinomycetes; Micrococcales; Microbacteriaceae.